UCAAGUAUUCAUCGCGAAUUUUAGAGAAAACCGAAACCCUACACGAAAAACACGAUUUGACAAAUUCGUGAGGGAUUUGAAAGGGGAUCACAUUAAAGAUGCUUACAAGGAUUCUAGUAAUAUUUUCCCCCAACAAAUCUCACAGGAUUUGAGCUCAAACAUGAAGAACGAAAAAUCCCCAAAAAUAGCUCUGAAAAUACUAAAAAAGAAAAACGGGAGAAAUAAAAGAUUUAGCCACGGAUUUUAACCACAAAUUCGACUAAAUCACAAGGAUAACAUGACUAGCCUCCUCCUUUCAUCCUCCUCUAAGAUGGAGAAAUUAAGAGAAAAGAGCUAUCACCCUCUCAUCUCCCUCCUCUCC
RNAcentral lists this long non-coding RNA (361 nucleotides) under Setaria italica (foxtail millet). RNAcentral's name for it is "long non-coding RNA (SITA_LNC004328)". Lineage: Eukaryota; Viridiplantae; Streptophyta; Magnoliopsida; Poales; Poaceae. The record is from RNAcentral.